Molecule: ribosomal RNA, 252 nt
Filed under: uncultured bacterium
Lineage: Bacteria
Description: partial 16S ribosomal RNA
Rfam family: Bacterial small subunit ribosomal RNA
Source: RNAcentral
ACGAAGGGGGCUAGCGUUGCUCGGAAUCACUGGGCGUAAAGGGCGCGUAGGCGGCCGAUUAAGUCGGGGGUGAAAGCCUGUGGCUCAACCACAGAAUUGCCUUCGAUACUGGUUGGCUUGAGACCGGAAGAGGACAGCGGAACUGCGAGUGUAGAGGUGAAAUUCGUAGAUAUUCGCAAGAACACCAGUGGCGAAGGCGGCUGUCUGGUCCGGUUCUGACGCUGAGGCGCGAAAGCGUGGGGAGCAAACAGG